Molecule: transfer RNA, 74 nt
Filed under: Opitutales bacterium
Lineage: Bacteria; Pseudomonadati; Verrucomicrobiota; Opitutia; Opitutales
Description: tRNA-Gly
Rfam family: tRNA
About the family: Transfer RNA (tRNA) molecules are approximately 80 nucleotides in length. Their secondary structure includes four short double-helical elements and three loops (D, anti-codon, and T loops).
Source: RNAcentral
GCGGGCAUAGUUUAGUGGUAAAACCGCUGUCUUCCACACAGCUGAUGUCAGUUCGAUUCUGUCUGCCCGCACCA